Molecule: transfer RNA, 73 nt
Filed under: Camelus ferus (Wild Bactrian camel)
Lineage: Eukaryota; Metazoa; Chordata; Mammalia; Artiodactyla; Camelidae
Rfam family: tRNA
About the family: Transfer RNA (tRNA) molecules are approximately 80 nucleotides in length. Their secondary structure includes four short double-helical elements and three loops (D, anti-codon, and T loops).
Source: Rfam by way of RNAcentral
UGGGGUAGAGCUCAGUGGUAGAGUGUGUAUUUAGCAUGCAUGAAGUCCUUGGGUUCAAUCCCCAGUACCUCCA